AGCAGGUCGAUCGCGUAAAAAUUGUCUCAAUCUCACAUCCAAAAAUAUCCUUAAGGAUCGUUAUCGUUACAGUCCUUAUAACCGGUACCGCGUAAGCUUUUUCAGGAUUGUAGCAAUCGGUCGCAAUCAUGUAGCAAUAGGUCGCAAUCACGUGACUAUCGAUACUUUAGUGGUGGGUCAUACUUAUAAUCCGACUAAUUUGAAUAUCUAUGGUAACCUAGCAAUUUAUACGGCCAUAGUAGUCUUCCAAACUUGACUGCGUUGUAGCUAUUGAAAUAAAGUAUUACGAGUCUGUGCCCCGUGCCGCGGAAUAUGUGAAUUUGUGGUUCUUCUAGGUUCAUAGAGUAUUGUUUAUUUACACUUUUACGAUGAGUUGACUUUGUGACGAAACCUAAUAAAGUAAUUUAAAAGUCGAAACUAAAAAGGAAACUGGCACCCUACGGCCGCCUCUGUGAGGCAGCUUGAGAUUCUGUUAGAAGUUGCUGAAAGCAACUCAAAUAUUGCACUCGGUGGGCUCGGUGGAGGACCUCUCGGCCGCCAGUAUCGGAUACUGCUUAAGAGCCCCACAAAAGGCAAGGCUGGAGACUUGCGACGAGAAGCCACUGGCACUGGAGGUGGACCAAAUUUCAACACGUCUUUGACCCCCUAUCGAAGAACAAUAUAAGUAUAAUUGGGAACGUGGCAGUAGAGGGAGAACCCAAAAUCCAGAUUCCAAUAAAUGAAUCAUAGAUUCCUGACCUGCCUACUCAACCAAGUACAUCUACUGUACAUCACCAAUAUGAGAAAUCAUUAUUGAUGAGCAGCUUAGUGACAACUAUACAACAAACAGAGGAGCCUUCACAAAUAGAAGCUACACAUAACCGCUACAUAUUUCACUAGCAUUAGAAGUUUCUCAGUCUGUCUAUCAUGUUGAUACUGAGAUACCAGAAGUUAGCACACCAACCAGCACACAACACCAUCAGCCUUUAAGAAGUAAUAAACUUAUCCAAAUAUAUUUGAAACCUUUUCAUAGCCAUUGUUCACCUAACAACUAACAUUUUUUUUAAAUUCCAUUAAUAACAAGAUAUUAAGAUAAGCCUUUAUUAACUGAAUUGAAUUACAUUAAUGCUAUGUACAUAAUAUAUUUCAAAUAAAUAAAUAAUAUUUUAGUUUU
This is a long non-coding RNA of Maniola jurtina (meadow brown), 1153 nucleotides long. RefSeq lists it as uncharacterized. The transcript has 3 exons. Lineage: Eukaryota; Metazoa; Arthropoda; Insecta; Lepidoptera; Nymphalidae. The record is from RefSeq and is a predicted model, not a curated record.